This 440-nucleotide ribosomal RNA is filed under the name uncultured bacterium. Its description in RNAcentral is "partial 16S ribosomal RNA". It matches the Rfam family "Bacterial small subunit ribosomal RNA", at positions 338 to 795 of the family's 1533-position model. The record is from RNAcentral.
CCUACGGGGGGCAGCAGUGGGGAAUAUUGCACAAUGGGGGAAACCCUGAUGCAGCGACGCCGCGUGAGUGAAGAAGUAAUUCGUUAUGUAAAGCUCUAUCAGCAGGGAAGAAAAUGACGGUACCUGAGUAAGAAGCCCCGGCUAACUACGUGCCAGCAGCCGCGGUAAUACGUAGGGGGCAAGCGUUAUCCGGAUUUACUGGGGGUAAAGGGAGCGUAGACGGCAGUGCAAGUCUGGGGUGAAAGUCGUGGGCUAAACCCGUGGACUGCACUGGAAACUGUAGGGCUGGAGUACAGGAGAGGUAGGUGGAAUUCCUAGUGUAGCGGUGAAAUGCGUAGAUAUUAGGAGGAACACCAGUGGCGAAGGCGGCUUACUGGACUGUAACUGACGUUGAGGCUCGAAAGCGUGGGGAGCAAACAGGAUUAGAUACCCUUGUAGUC